Small nucleolar RNA from Drosophila eugracilis, 141 nucleotides. RefSeq annotates it as small nucleolar RNA psi18S-1377. The record is from RefSeq and is a predicted model, not a curated record. The transcript has a single exon. NCBI's taxonomy places the organism in Eukaryota, Metazoa, Arthropoda, Insecta, Diptera, Drosophilidae.
CCGUUCUUGUGUUAACUGCUAAGCGAUUCCUCCAGCUCAGCGAUCGUCAAACAGAACGCACAUCAAAAGGCAACUAAUCACUCCAUAAUGAUGGGUCUUAUAAAACCAGGACCACCUCAUUACUAAAUAUUUGCUACAGUU